AAAUACAUGGACGGACGUCAUGAUAAAAGUGACGUCAGGCUUCCCUUAGCUUGCGCCAAGGCCUGAAGUUUUACAAGUAAAAUAACUAUGAUAAAUUUACAUUAUAACUAGAAGAGGUCACGUUAUUAGUCGAAAUAAAUAUUUGUUGAACCGGGUAAAACUGGUCAGACCAGCGAGCAAUUCUGAGAAAUAGAGCGACCUCGGGAUACUUCACCGAGCGCGAAGAGUGGAAGGGAGAGUUGCACCAUCACUUUCUACAAGUUUAACAUUGUUGUUUCACGACAACAUACAAGUAAAAAUGUAUGAAUUUUCAAUACAUGUCGGGACUGCAAGCAACCCCUUCAACUGUAUGAUAAGAAUAUGGAUACUGAGAGGACCUGAGCACUUGGACCAUGCCUCAGGACUACCUGGCCUGAUUACUCCUUGCUGUCCCCAGUCCACCUGGUCGUGCUGCUGCUCUAGUUUCAAUUGUUCUACCUGCGGCUAUGGAACCUUGACCUGUUCACCCGACGUGCUACCUUGUCCCAGACCUGCUGUUUUCAACUUUCUAGAGACAGCAGGUGCGGUAGAGAUACUCUGAAUGAUCGGCUAUGAAAAGCCAACUGAUAUUUACUCCUGAGGUGCUGACCUUUUUCACCCUCUCCAACCACUGUGAUUAUUAUUAUCUGACCCUACUGGUCAUCUAUGAACAUUUGAACAUCUUGGCAAUGUUCUGUUAUGAUCUCCACCUGGCACAGCCAGAAGAGGACUGGCCACCCCUCAUAGCCUGGUUCCUCUCUAGGUUUCUUCCUAGGUUCCGGCCUUUCUAGGGAGUUUUUCCUAGCCACCAUGCUUCAACACCUGCAUUGCUUGCUGUUUGGGGUUUUAGGCUGGGUUUCUGUACAGCACUUUGUGACAUCAGCUGAUGUAAGACAAGCUUUAUAAAUACCUUUGAUUGAUUACAGCCUCAAGUCUUCUUGGGUAUGACGCUACAAGCUUGGCAAUGAUGCUACAAGCUUGGCACACCUGUAUUUGGGGAGUUUCUCUCAUCCUUCUUUGCAGAUCCUCUCAAGCUCUGUCAGGUUGGAUGGAGAGCGUUGCUGCACAGCUAUUUUCAGGUCUCUCCAGAGAUUUUUGAUCAGGUUUAAGUCCGGGUUUUGGCUGGGCCACUCAAGGACAUUCAGAGACUUGUCCCGAAGCCACUCCUGCGUUGUCCUGGCUAUGUGCUUAGGGUCGUGGUCCUGUUGGAAGGUGAACCUUUGCCACAGUCUGAGGUCCUGAGCGCUCUGGAGCAGGUUUUCAUCAAGGAUCUCUCUGUACUUUGCUCCGUUCAUCUUUCCGUCGAUCCUGUCUAGUCUCCCAGUCCCUGCUACUGAAAAACAUCCCCACAGCAUGAUGCUGCCACCACCUUGCUUCACCGUAGGGAUGGUGCCAGUUUUC
This 1419-nucleotide long non-coding RNA is filed under the name Salmo salar (Atlantic salmon). RNAcentral describes it as "lncRNA (ENSSSAG00000086043.1)". The record is from RNAcentral. Lineage: Eukaryota; Metazoa; Chordata; Actinopteri; Salmoniformes; Salmonidae.